RNAcentral lists this ribosomal RNA (210 nucleotides) under uncultured bacterium. RNAcentral's name for it is "partial 16S ribosomal RNA". It matches the Rfam family "Bacterial small subunit ribosomal RNA", at positions 1290 to 1500 of the family's 1533-position model. The record is from RNAcentral.
AGUUCGGAUUGAAGGCUGAAAUUCGCCUUCAUGAAGCUGGAAUUGCUAGUAAUGGCAGGUCAGCAUACUGCCGUGAAUACGUUCCCGGGCCUUGUACACACCGCCCGUCACACCAUGAGAGUUGGGGAUACCCGAAGCCUGUGAGCUAACUUUUAGAGGCAGCAGUCGAAGGUAGAAUCAAUGAUUGGGGUGAAGUCGUAACAAGGUACC